This 253-nucleotide ribosomal RNA is filed under the name uncultured bacterium. RNAcentral describes it as "partial 16S ribosomal RNA". It matches the Rfam family "Bacterial small subunit ribosomal RNA", at positions 524 to 776 of the family's 1533-position model. The record is from RNAcentral.
UACGUAGGGUGCAAGCGUUAAUCGGAAUCACUGGGCGUAAAGCGCACGUAGGCGGCUUACUAAGUCAGGGGUGAAAUCCUGGAGCUCAACUCCAGAACUGCCUUUGAUACUGGUAAGCUCGAGUCCGGGAGAGGUGAGUGGAACUGCGAGUGUAGAGGUGAAAUUCGUAGAUAUUCGCAAGAACACCAGUGGCGAAGGCGGCCCACUGGUCCGGUACUGACGCUGAGGUGCGAAAGCGUGGGGAGCAAACAGG